ACGAACGCUGGCGGCGUGCUUAACACAUGCAAGUCGAACGGAAAGGCCCUGCUUUUGUGGGGUGCUCGAGUGGCGAACGGGUGAGUAACACGUGAGUAACCUGCCCUUGACUUUGGGAUAACUUCAGGAAACUGGGGCUAAUACCGGAUAGGAGCUCCUGCUGCAUGGUGGGGGUUGGAAAGUUUCGGCGGUUGGGGAUGGACUCGCGGCUUAUCAGCUUGUUGGUGGGGUAGUGGCUUACCAAGGCUUUGACGGGUAGCCGGCCUGAGAGGGUGACCGGCCACAUUGGGACUGAGGUACGGCACAGACUCCUACGGGAGGCAGCAGUGGGGAAUAUUGCACAAUGGGCGGAAGCCUGAUGCAGCAACGCCGCGUGCGGGAUGACGGCCUUCGGGUUGUAAACCGCUUUCGCCUGUGACGAAGCGUGAGUGACGGUAAUGGGUAAAGAAGCACCGGCUAACUACGUG
RNAcentral lists this ribosomal RNA (467 nucleotides) under uncultured bacterium. Its description in RNAcentral is "partial 16S ribosomal RNA". It matches the Rfam family "Bacterial small subunit ribosomal RNA", at positions 29 to 507 of the family's 1533-position model. The record is from RNAcentral.